UACGUAGGGGGCAAGCGUUGUCCGGAAUCAUUGGGCGUAAAGCGCGUGUAGGCGGCUCGAUAAGUCUGCUGUGAAAGUCCAGGGCUCAACCUCGAGACGUCGGUUGAAACCGUACGGCUAGAGUCCGGAAGAGGAGAGUGGAAUUCCCGGUGUAGCGGUGAAAUGCGCAGAUAUCGGGAAGAACACCCGUGGCGAAGGCGGCCUUCUGGACGGAUACUGACGCUGAUACGCGAAAGCGUGGGGAGCAAACAGG
Molecule: ribosomal RNA, 253 nt
Filed under: uncultured bacterium
Lineage: Bacteria
Description: partial 16S ribosomal RNA
Rfam family: Bacterial small subunit ribosomal RNA
Source: RNAcentral